Molecule: ribosomal RNA, 492 nt
Filed under: uncultured bacterium
Lineage: Bacteria
Description: partial 16S ribosomal RNA
Rfam family: Bacterial small subunit ribosomal RNA
Source: RNAcentral
AGUGAACGCUGGCGGUAGGCCUAACACAUGCAAGUCGAACGGCAGCACAGUAAGAGCUUGCUCUUACGGGUGGCGGGUGGCGGACGGGUGAGGAAUACAUCGGAAUCUACUUUUUCGUGGGGGAUAACGUAGGGAAACUUACGCUAAUACCGCAUACGACCUACGGGUGAAAGCAGGGGAUCUUCGGACCUUGCGCGAUUGAAUGAGCCGAUGUCGGAUUAGCUAGUUGGCGGGGUAAAGGCCCACCAAGGCGACGAUCCGUAGCUGGUCUGAGAGGAUGAUCAGCCACACUGGAACUGAGACACGGUCCAGACUCCUACGGGAGGCAGCAGUGGGGAAUAUUGGACAAUGGGCGCAAGCCUGAUCCAGCCAUACCGCGUGGGUGAAGAAGGCCUUCGGGUUGUAAAGCCCUUUUGUUGGGAAAGAAAAGCAGCAGGUUAAUACCCCGAUGUUCUGACGGUACCCAAAGAAUAAGCACCGGCUAACUUCGUG